Molecule: ribosomal RNA, 480 nt
Filed under: uncultured bacterium
Lineage: Bacteria
Description: bacterial SSU rRNA
Rfam family: Bacterial small subunit ribosomal RNA
Source: RNAcentral
GAUCAGUGGCUCAGGACGAACGCUGGCGGCGUGCUUAACACAUGCAAGUCGAACGGUGACCCAGGGCUUGCCCUGGUGAUCAGUGGCGAACGGGUGAGUAACACGUGGGCAACCUGCCCCUGACUUCGGGAUAACUCCUCGAAAGAGGAGCUAAUACCGGAUACGACCACUUCGGACAUCCGAUGGUGGUGGAAAGUUUUUCGGUCAGGGAUGGGCCCGCGGCCUAUCAGCUAGUUGGUGGGGUAAUGGCCUACCAAGGCGACGACGGGUAGCCGGCCUGAGAGGGCGACCGGCCACACUGGGACUGAGACACGGCCCAGACUCCUACGGGAGGCAGCAGUGGGGAAUAUUGCGCAAUGGGCGAAAGCCUGACGCAGCGACGCCGCGUGAGGGAUGAAGGCCUUCGGGUUGUAAACCUCUUUCAGCAGGGACGAAGCGAAAGUGACGGUACCUGCAGAAGAAGCACCGGCUAACUACGUG